CUACGGGACGCUCCAGUGAGGAAUAUUGCACAAUGGGGGGAACCCUGAUGCAGCAACGCCGCGUGGAGGAUGACGCAUUUCGGUGUGUAAACUCCUUUUAUAUGUCAAGAAAAUGACGGUAGCAUAUGAAUAAGCACCGGCUAACUCCGUGCCAGCAGCCGCGGUAAUACGGAGGGUGCAAGCGUUACUCGGAAUCACUGGACGUAAAGGACGCGUAGGCGGGUUGGAAAGUCAGGUGUGAAAUCCUACAGCUUAACUGUAGAACUGCACUUGAAACUUCUAAUCUAGAGUAUGGGAGGGGGAGAUGGAAUUAGUGGUGUAGGGGUAAAAUCCGUAGAUAUCACUAGGAAUACCUGAAGCGAAGGCGAUCUCCUGGAACAUUACUGACGCUAAGGCGUGAAAGCGUGGGGAGCAAACAGGAUUAGAUACCCCGGUAGUC
Molecule: ribosomal RNA, 439 nt
Filed under: uncultured bacterium
Lineage: Bacteria
Description: partial 16S ribosomal RNA
Rfam family: Bacterial small subunit ribosomal RNA
Source: RNAcentral